RNAcentral lists this ribosomal RNA (465 nucleotides) under uncultured bacterium. RNAcentral describes it as "partial 16S ribosomal RNA". It matches the Rfam family "Bacterial small subunit ribosomal RNA", at positions 338 to 795 of the family's 1533-position model. The record is from RNAcentral.
CCUACGGGUGACAGCAGUAGGGAAUCUUCCACAAUGGGCGAAAGCCUGAUGGAGCAACGCCGCGUGGGUGAAGAAGGUCUUCGGAUCGUAAAACCCUGUUGUUAGAGAAGAAAGUGCGUGAGAGUAACUGUUCACGUUUCGACGGUAUCUAACCAGAAAGCCACGGCUAACUACGUGCCAACAGCCGCGGUAAUACGUAGGUGGCAAGCGUUAUCCGGAUUUAUUGGGCGUAAAGGGAACGCAGGCGGUCUUUUAAGUCUGAUGGGAAAGCCUUCGGCUUAACCGGAGUAGUGCAUUGGAAACUGGGAGACUUGAGUGCAGAAGAGGAGAGUGGAACUCCAUGUGUAGCGGUGAAAUGCGUAGAUAUAUGGAAGAACACCAGUGGCGAAAGCGGCUCUCUGGUCUGUAACUGACGCUGAGGUUCGAAAGCGUGGGUAGCAAACAGGAUUAGAUACCCGAGUAGUC